Molecule: long non-coding RNA, 204 nt
Filed under: Elaeis guineensis (African oil palm)
Lineage: Eukaryota; Viridiplantae; Streptophyta; Magnoliopsida; Arecales; Arecaceae
Description: long non-coding RNA (EGUI_LNC031919)
Source: RNAcentral
AGCCAAUGUAAUGUCCUACCACUCUAUCUCUAUAUAAACAGGUAAUGAGGAGACCCUCAAGGUAUGAAAUACUAAGGCCAUUUUCUCUCUUCUUUACUGUUCUCAAGCUCCGCUGACUUAAGUAUCAGAGGAUCUUCUGCCAAAAAAUCUCUGACAAGUGUAGACUUUUUUUUUGUAGGUCCACCUCGGCAUCCCAAUGCUCGA